This 820-nucleotide ribosomal RNA is filed under the name uncultured Clostridium sp. RNAcentral describes it as "bacterial SSU rRNA". It matches the Rfam family "Bacterial small subunit ribosomal RNA", at positions 38 to 859 of the family's 1533-position model. Lineage: Bacteria; Bacillati; Bacillota; Clostridia; Eubacteriales; Clostridiaceae. The record is from RNAcentral.
GGUGGCGGGUGCUACGAUGCAGUCGAGCGGUAUAUACUGGAAUGAAACUUCGGUCGAGUGAAGGUAUAGAGAGCGGCGGACGGGUGAGUAACGCGUAGGCAACCUGCCCCAUACAGAGGGAUAGCCUCGGGAAACCGGGAUUAAAACCUCAUAAUGCGAGAGGUCCACAUGGACUUUUCGCCAAAGAUUUAUCGGUAUGGGAUGGGCCUGCGUCUGAUUAGCUAGUUGGUGGGGUAACGGCCUACCAAGGCAGCGAUCAGUAGCCGACCUGAGAGGGUAAUCGGCCACAUUGGAACUGAGACACGGUCCAAACUCCUACGGGAGGCAGCAGUGGGGAAUAUUGCACAAUGGGCGAAAGCCUGAUGCAGCAACGCCGCGUGAGCGAUGAAGGCCUUUGGGUCGUAAAGCUCUGUCCUUGGGGAAGAAAAAAAUGACGGUACCCUUGGAGGAAGCCCCGGCUAACUACGUGCCAGCAGCCGCGGUAAUACGUAGGGGGCAAGCGUUAUCCGGAAUUAUUGGGCGUAAAGAGUGCGUAGGUGGUUUUGUAAGCGCGGGGUGAAAGGCAAUAGCUCAACUAUUGUAAGCCCUGCGAACUGUGAGACUUGAGUGCAGGAGAGGAAAGCGGAAUUCCUAGUGUAGCGGUGAAAUGCGUAGAUAUUAGGAGGAACACCAGUGGCGAAGGCGGCUUUCUGGACUGUAACUGACACUGAGGCACGAAAGCGUGGGGGAGCAAACAGGAUUAGAUACCCUGGUAGUCCACGCCGUAAACGAUGAGCACUAGGUGUCGGGGCCGCAAGGUUUCGGUGCCGCAGUUAACGCA